RNAcentral lists this ribosomal RNA (329 nucleotides) under uncultured eukaryote. RNAcentral's name for it is "partial 18S ribosomal RNA". It matches the Rfam family "Eukaryotic small subunit ribosomal RNA", at positions 1470 to 1796 of the family's 1831-position model. The record is from RNAcentral.
CCCUUAGAUGUUCUGGGCCGCACGCGCGCUACACUGAUGCGUUCAUCGAGUUUACAACCUUGAUUGAUAGGUCUGGGUAAUCUUUUAAACGCGCAUCGUGCUAGGGAUAGAUUAUUGCAAUUAUUAAUCUUGAACGAGGAAUUCCUAGUAAACGCAAGUCAUCAGCUUGCAUUGAUUACGUCCCUGCCCUUUGUACACACCGCCCGUCGCACCUACUGAUUGGAUGACUCGGUGAAAAAUUGGGACUGUGAAAGAAUCUGCUUUAUUGCGGUUUCUUUUAUGGGAACUUUUUUAAACCUCGUUAUCUAGAAGAAGGUGAAGUCGUAACA